GAGGAGGAGGAGGAGAAGGGGCCGGGCGGGGCGGGCGCGUCCCUGUUGACGCCGCCUUACGGGCGGGCGUCAGAACUAGACUUGACUUGCCAGGAGCAGAUGGAAUGUCUUCGGUGGGCCCUUCUGAGAAACCCAGUUUCUUGCUUUAGCUAUGUUUAGAAUCUGGGACUGCCACCUCAAUUAGCCCACUUCCCUUACAAACCCGACCCACCCCGCACCUCUCCCUCCGCCCUGCAGCCUCCCUGCCACUCCGCUUCCACCUGAAUCGCAGUGGAUUUUUGUCCCAAAUCCACCAGAACAACCCCUGGGUGUACCCAGGUGAGAUUUCCAUGCCUACAUUACUCCACACAGAAAGAGAUCUCUCCUGGUUCCAGCCCUGAAUAAAGAGGACAGAGCCUCAUGACUCCAUCUGGGCCAAGAUGAAAGAAGGAGCAGAGUACACCAUCCCCUCUGUGCACUAAGUGUCCUGGUGUCAAGGCUUUUGUCCCAGUGGGAUCCAUUUAGAGGAGAUAUAAAUCACUGAAGAACUGAACGGAAGCAUGGACAUUUUGUUAUUUGGGGACUGAUGGAUUCUACUUGCAGAUUAUUUUCGGAGUGAUUCCAGGUGACCUAAAGAUCUGAGGGGGCAGAAGUGCCUACUCCUUGCUUUGAACUCACACCCUGAGAAGCUGCGGGAAGAAGUAGUAUGGAAAGAGUUGAACUUUCUGAUUCAUUGUUUGAUCAUGAUUAGGCCACAGAAGCCAUAUGAAUUAGGGUUCUCCAGAAAAACAGAACCAAUAGGAUAUAUGAUUCAUUAUAAGAAAUUGGCUCAUGCCAUUAUGGAGGCUGAGAAGUCCCAAGAUCUGCAGUGGGCAAGCUGGCAACCCAGGAGAGCCAAUGGUAGAGUUCCAGUCCCAGUCUGAAGCCAUGAUAACCAGCCAUAUAUACCUACAUUCAAAUCUGAUUUUCAUACUUAUUAGAUGUAUAGCCAUGGGCGGGUAUUUACUUUCUCUGACUUUCAAGCUGUACAUUAGCAAAAUAAGAAUGGUAGCGUGCAAGUCAAGUACAUAGAAGCAGAGAGUAGAAUGGUGGUUGCCAAUGGCUAGGGUUGGGGUAAAUGGGGAGGUGUUGGUCAAAGGGUUAAAUAAAAAAGAAUGCCCUACCUUGCAGAAAAGUAGUUAAAUGAAUGGGAAUAAUGUUAACAUAACCUUAUUUUGUGCAUGCCUUACAUGGCUCUAUUUCAGAGUAGUGGGAUGAUCAAUGAACACAGUCCAAUACAAAAAUAUUAACAUCAGAAUAGCUCAAGUUUUUUUCUUACAUUUUUCCAUACCUGGAAGGAAUAUAUAGUCCAUAGCAAACCCUGUUUGCAAUGCCCUGUCUUUUCCCAUACACUUCCCUUACACCUCACAACUACUCAGAACCUUUUGUUUCAAGCUUUCCAAGUAACUCCUCUCCCAGUCUUAGAACGCAAGAAUCUUGCCUUCCUUUGUUAUUUCAAAAUAUUAAAAGGGUACACAUGUUUUUA
Molecule: non-coding RNA, 1504 nt
Organism: Microcebus murinus (gray mouse lemur)
Lineage: Eukaryota; Metazoa; Chordata; Mammalia; Primates; Cheirogaleidae
Source: RefSeq, a predicted model, not a curated record